UUUAAUUGCACUUUUUUUUACCUGCACUUGGCUCCACUUGAAGCAAACAAAGAUGUAUUGUAGAGUUAUCAAUGUAUUAAUCACCAAACUAUCAUUUUUAUUUUGUUUCUUUUUGUCAGUGUUAUCCUCCUUCCUGCUGUCUAAAUUAGCAGAUUUUAUUUCUGAAGUCUCAAGUUUACUAGAAGAGUAGAAAAAAAUUGAUCUUAUCUCCCCACCAUCACCCUUCUCUUUAGUGUGGAAUAUACACACCAUCCACGUUACACUCCUGCAUUAAGAGAGAGAUAUUGUUGAGUCUGUUAUUAUACAGCAAUUUUUGUAAACACGGUUGCAUUAGUGGAAGCACAGACAUUCUGGUAGAUUGAGGAUAAUGUGUUUACAAUUUGAAAAACUCAAGGCAGUUUGUCAACAGAGAUCUUUGCAUACUGUGAAUUUGAGAUACAAUCUAUGAAAAGAGUCAUACUCUGUUUUUUUCAUCUGCUGCUAUAAGAACACAAUGGAUAGGAGCCAUACUAAGGUCUAAAAUUCAACACUGUUCUAGUACACAUACAAAAAGACUCCCCUCCCUACCCCUGCUUCAUCCUACAGCUCUCUUUAAACCUACUCUGGAAGAUUCCCAGUCCCUUUCAGUAGGUUUUGAGGGUGGGGAGAAGGGAGAUCCCCCUGAUUCCGGUGUCUGAAACAGUUCCAUUGGUUCAGACCUGGGCAAAAUGUGGCCUUCCAGAUGUUGCUGAACUGCAAAUCCCAACACUCCUCAUUAUUGGCUGUGUGGGCUAGGAUUGCUGGGAGUUGCAGUUCAGCAACUUCUGGAAGGCCGCAUUUUGCCCAGGUCUGCUAGUUGAAGUACCCCUUUGAUGCCACAAAGUGGACUUUGUUAUAACUUACUUCACAUUGAUUUCUGUAGGAACUACAUGCAGAUAACAUUGUCUGGAUCCAACCCACUAUAAAAGCAUACACACAAAUUCCAAAAUAUUUCUCAGCAAUAGGAUUGCCUCUCUUUUCUUAUGUUGUUUAUACAUUACGGGUUGUUUAUACGUUAUACAACCCAAUCUUGCUCUUAAAAAAGAACUCACUCAGGUCAAUGGAAAAGUUAAGCUAUCUGCCAAUCGUAGCUUUAAAAAGUUAAAUUUUUGCACUAUAUUUCCCAGAAUCCAUCAAACAGA
This 1160-nucleotide long non-coding RNA is filed under the name Pogona vitticeps (central bearded dragon). Its description in RNAcentral is "lncRNA (ENSPVIG00000001782.1)". Lineage: Eukaryota; Metazoa; Chordata; Lepidosauria; Squamata; Agamidae. The record is from RNAcentral.